Molecule: ribosomal RNA, 439 nt
Filed under: uncultured bacterium
Lineage: Bacteria
Description: bacterial SSU rRNA
Rfam family: Bacterial small subunit ribosomal RNA
Source: RNAcentral
ACGCGCGGAACCUUACCAGGUCUUGACAUCUGAAUGACCGGUGCAGAGAUGUACCUUUCCUUCGGGACAUUCAAGACAGGUGGUGCAUGGUUGUCGUCAGCUCGUGUCGUGAGAUGUUGGGUUAAGUCCCGCAACGAGCGCAACCCUUGAUCUUAGUUGCCAGCAGGUUAAGCUGGGCACUCUAAGGUGACUGCCGGUGACAAACCGGAGGAAGGUGGGGAUGACGUCAAAUCAUCAUGCCCCUUAUGACCUGGGCUACACACGUACUACAAUGGCCAGUACAACGGGAAGCGAAGCCGCGAGGUGGAGCCAAUCCUAAAAAGCUGGUCUCAGUUCGGAUUGCAGGCUGCAACUCGCCUGCAUGAAGUCGGAAUUGCUAGUAAUCGCGGAUCAGCAUGCCGCGGUGAAUACGUUCCCGGGUCUUGCACACACCGCCCGU